AACUAUAACGGUCCUAAGGUAGCGAAAUUCCUUGUCAGGUAAGUUCUGACCCGCAUGAAAGGCGUAAUGAUUUGGGCACUGUCUCAACAGCCCGCCCGGCGAAAUUGUAGUACCGGUGAAGAUGCCGGUUACCCGCGACAAGACGGAAAGACCCCAUGGAGCUUUACUGUAGCCUAAUAUUGGGUUUCGAUGUUGCAUGCACAGGAUAGAUGGGACACUAGGAAGCAGGUGCUUUGGCGCUUGUGGAGUGGCCGUUGGGAUACCAUCCUUGCGAUAUUGGAAUUCUAACCUGCGGCUCUGAAUCGAG
Molecule: ribosomal RNA, 307 nt
Filed under: Pseudomonas aeruginosa
Lineage: Bacteria; Pseudomonadati; Pseudomonadota; Gammaproteobacteria; Pseudomonadales; Pseudomonadaceae
Description: partial 23S ribosomal RNA
Rfam family: Bacterial large subunit ribosomal RNA
Source: RNAcentral